This 142-nucleotide ribosomal RNA is filed under the name uncultured Alphaproteobacteria bacterium. RNAcentral describes it as "partial 16S ribosomal RNA". It matches the Rfam family "Bacterial small subunit ribosomal RNA", at positions 537 to 678 of the family's 1533-position model. The record is from RNAcentral. Lineage: Bacteria; Pseudomonadati; Pseudomonadota; Alphaproteobacteria.
AGCGUUGUUCGGAAUUACUGGGCGUAAAGCGCACGUAGGCGGAUUGCCAAGUCAGGGGUGAAAUCCUGGAGCUCAACUCCAGAACUGCCUUUGAUACUGAGGGGCUUGAGUCCGGGAGAGGUGAGUGGAACUGCGAGUGUAG